This 127-nucleotide small RNA is filed under the name Marmota monax (woodchuck). The record is from RNAcentral. Lineage: Eukaryota; Metazoa; Chordata; Mammalia; Rodentia; Sciuridae.
GCAGGGCGUGGUGGUGCACACCUGUAAUCCCAGCAGCUCAGAAGGCUGAGACAGGAGGAUCACAAGUUCAAAGCUAGCUUCAGCAAUUUAGCAAGGCCCUAAGCAACUUAGUGAGAUUCAGUCUCAA